UUCUUGCAAAUAGAGGAUGAUGAUGGCUGCGAUUUUUCGUCAACAGACGUGUUGGGUAAGGAUAUACUCUGAACCAUGAACCAGAGGUGUUUGCCAAGCCCAAUGUCCAAUGCAUGCUGGCCCAGAGUGUCUAGAGUUGAGAGCGAGACGACGGCCGACGCGACGGGUCACGGGUGCAGUGCGCCCAUUCCACAAUCGUUCAUUCAGGCGCACCUAAUUGUUUCCUGAA
Molecule: long non-coding RNA, 229 nt
Filed under: Sorghum bicolor (sorghum)
Lineage: Eukaryota; Viridiplantae; Streptophyta; Magnoliopsida; Poales; Poaceae
Description: long non-coding RNA (SBIC_LNC007753)
Source: RNAcentral